AUGGUAGGUCAUGGAUAAAUCGUCAAACCUCAUCAUCAGUCAUAUGAUAGAUCCGAUCAGUCCAAGUCUAAUAGUGAUUUUAAAUAAAAUUAUUUUUCAUCAUUCAUAUUGCUAUGGCCAUAGACUUGUGAACUCAGCUUCUCAAAUCUUAUAGAACUAUUCCUCUCUAUCAAGGUCAAUAGAUCCUAUCUAGAUGCAUACUUCACUCGUACAGCUCUACCAACUGAAGCCAACAUCUAAUACAAAAACUUAUAAUCAAGCUAAAUUUAUGUGUAGUCAAACUACAGU
RNAcentral lists this long non-coding RNA (288 nucleotides) under Elaeis guineensis (African oil palm). RNAcentral describes it as "long non-coding RNA (EGUI_LNC047331)". The record is from RNAcentral. Lineage: Eukaryota; Viridiplantae; Streptophyta; Magnoliopsida; Arecales; Arecaceae.